UAAGGGAUAUUGGUCAAUGGGGGAAACCCUGAACCAGCAACGCCGCGUGAGGGAAGACGGUUUUCGGAUUGUAAACCUCUGUCCUCUGUGAAGAUGAUGACGGUAGCAGAGGAGGAAGCUCCGGCUAACUACGUGCCAGCAGCCGCGGUAAUACGUAGGGAGCGAGCGUUGUCCGGAUUUACUGGGUGUAAAGGGUGCGUAGGCGGCUUGGCAAGUCAGUAGUGAAAUCCAUGGGCUUAACCCAUGAACUGCUAUUGAAACUGUCGAGCUUGAGUGAAGUAGAGGUAGGCGGAAUUCCCGGUG
Molecule: ribosomal RNA, 303 nt
Filed under: uncultured bacterium
Lineage: Bacteria
Description: bacterial SSU rRNA
Rfam family: Bacterial small subunit ribosomal RNA
Source: RNAcentral